Molecule: ribosomal RNA, 468 nt
Filed under: uncultured bacterium
Lineage: Bacteria
Description: partial 16S ribosomal RNA
Rfam family: Bacterial small subunit ribosomal RNA
Source: RNAcentral
GACGAACGCUGGCGGCGUGCUUAACACAUGCAAGUCGAACGGAAAGGCCCUGCGUUUGUGGGGUGCUCGAGUGGCGAACGGGGGAGUAACACGUGUGUAACCUGCCCUUGUCUUUGGGAGAACUUCAGGAAACUGGGGCUAAUAUCGUAUAGGAUCUCCUGCACCGUGGUGGGGGUUGGAAAGUUUCGGCUGUUGGGGAUGGACUGGCGGCUUAUCAGCUUGUUGGUGGGGUAGGUGCUUACCAAGGCUUUGACGGGUAGCCGGCCUGAGAGGGUGACCGGGGACCUGGGGACUGCGGUACGGACCAGACUGGUAUGGGAGGCAGUGGUGGGGAACAUUGCACAGUGGGCCGGAGCCUGAUGCAGCAACGCCGCGUGCGGGAUGACGGCUUUCGGGUUGUAAACAGCUUUCGCCUGUGACGAAGCGUGAGUGACGGUACUGGGUAAAGAAGCACCGGCUAACUACGUG